UCCCUGAUGGCUCAGAAGUUAGAGCGUCUGCCUCCAAUGCAGGAGACCCGGGUUUGAUCCCUGUGUUGGGAA
Transfer RNA from Ovis aries (sheep), 72 nucleotides. It matches the Rfam family "tRNA". Rfam says of the family: Transfer RNA (tRNA) molecules are approximately 80 nucleotides in length. Their secondary structure includes four short double-helical elements and three loops (D, anti-codon, and T loops). Further hydrogen bonds mediate the characteristic L-shaped molecular structure. tRNAs have two regions of fundamental functional importance: the anti-codon, which is responsible for specific mRNA codon recognition, and the 3' end, to which the tRNAs corresponding amino acid is attached (by aminoacyl-tRNA synthetases). tRNAs cope with the degeneracy of the genetic code in two manners: having more than one tRNA (with a specific anti-codon) for a particular amino acid; and 'wobble' base-pairing, i.e. permitting non-standard base-pairing at the 3rd anti-codon position. Lineage: Eukaryota; Metazoa; Chordata; Mammalia; Artiodactyla; Bovidae. The record is from Rfam.